UUUGUGGAGGGUUCGAUUCUGGCUCAGGAUGAACGCUGGCGGCGUGCUUAACACAUGCAAGUCGAACGGGAUCCAUCGGGCUUUGCUUGGUGGUGCCCAUGCUCCGGAAUAGCUCCUGGAAACGGGUGGUAAUGCCGGAUGUUCCACAUGAUCGCAUGUGAUUGUGGGAAAGAUUCUAUCGGCGUGGGAUGGGGUCGCGUCCUAUCAGCUUGUUGGUGAGGUAACGGCUCACCAAGGCUUCGACGGGUAGCCGGCCUGAGAGGGCGACCGGCCACAUUGGGACUGAGAUACGGCCCAGACUCCUACGGGAGGCAGCAGUGGGGAAUAUUGCACAAUGGGCGCAAGCCUGAUGCAGCGACGCCGCGUGAGGGAUGGAGGCCUUCGGGUUGUAAACCUCUUUUGUUUGGGAGCAAGCCUUCGGGUGAGUGUACCUUUCGAAUAAGCGCCGGCUAACUACGUGCCAGCAGCCGCGGUAAUACGUAGGGCGCAAGCGUUAUCCGGAUUUAUUGGGCGUAAAGGGCUCGUAGGCGGCUCGUCGCGUCCGGUGUGAAAGUCCAUCGCUUAACGGUGGAUCUGCGCCGGGUACGGGCGGGCUGGAGUGCGGUAGGGGAGACUGGAAUUCCCGGUGUAACGGUGGAAUGUGUAGAUAUCGGGAAGAACACCGAUGGCGAAGGCAGGUCUCUGGGCCGUCACUGACGCUGAGGAGCGAAAGCGUGGGGAGCGAACAGGAUUAGAUACCCUGGUAGUCCACGCCGUAAACGGUGGACGCUGGAUGUGGGGCACGUUCCACGUGUUCCGUGUCGGAGCUAACGCGUUAAGCGUCCCGCCUGGGGAGUACGGCCGCAAGGCUAAAACUCAAAGAAAUUGACGGGGGCCCGCACAAGCGGCGGAGCAUGCGGAUUAAUUCGAUGCAACGCGAAGAACCUUACCUGGGCUUGACAUGUUCCCGACGACGCCAGAGAUGGCGUUUCCCUUCGGGGCGGGUUCACAGGUGGUGCAUGGUCGUCGUCAGCUCGUGUCGUGAGAUGUUGGGUUAAGUCCCGCAACGAGCGCAACCCUCGCCCCGUGUUGCCAGCACGUUAUGGUGGGAACUCACGGGGGACCGCCGGGGUUAACUCGGAGGAAGGUGGGGAUGACGUCAGAUCAUCAUGCCCCUUACGUCCAGGGCUUCACGCAUGCUACAAUGGCCGGUACAGCGGGAUGCGACAUGGCGACAUGGAGCGGAUCCCUGAAAACCGGUCUCAGUUCGGAUCGGAGCCUGCAACCCGGCUCCGUGAAGGCGGAGUCGCUAGUAAUCGCGGAUCAGCAACGCCGCGGUGAAUGCGUUCCCGGGCCUUGUACACACCGCCCGUCAAGUCAUGAAAGUGGGCAGCACCCGAAGCCGGUGGCCUAACCCCUUGUGGGAUGGAGCCGUCUAAGGUGAGGCUCGUGAUUGGGACUAAGUCGUAACAAGGUAGCCGUACCGGAAGGUGCGGCUGGAUCACCUCCUUU
Molecule: ribosomal RNA, 1491 nt
Filed under: Bifidobacterium bifidum
Lineage: Bacteria; Bacillati; Actinomycetota; Actinomycetes; Bifidobacteriales; Bifidobacteriaceae
Description: bacterial SSU rRNA
Rfam family: Bacterial small subunit ribosomal RNA
Source: RNAcentral